This 189-nucleotide unclassified non-coding RNA is filed under the name plant metagenome. RNAcentral's name for it is "partial contains 5.8S ribosomal RNA, internal transcribed spacer 2, and large subunit ribosomal RNA". The record is from RNAcentral.
CCGCGCCUUGCAUAUCACUUGUGUUAUCGCAAGGCAUCUACGUAUGAGUGUCAGCCUAUCAUCCUUUUGGUUUAAUAAUAAUAUUAUAUAUUAUUGAAUCCAUUAUGCGAGUAUCAUUUUUUUGAUACACGCGUUUAACAAAGUUUGUGUCUGGCCUCAUAUGUGGAAGGUUACCCGCUGGAUUUAAGC